This 629-nucleotide ribosomal RNA is filed under the name Vibrio sp. UST050418-190. Its description in RNAcentral is "bacterial SSU rRNA". It matches the Rfam family "Bacterial small subunit ribosomal RNA", at positions 65 to 667 of the family's 1533-position model. Lineage: Bacteria; Pseudomonadati; Pseudomonadota; Gammaproteobacteria; Vibrionales; Vibrionaceae. The record is from RNAcentral.
AGCGGAAACGACAUUAUUGAAUCUUCGGAGGAUUUANAUGGGCGUCGAGCGGCGGACGGGUGAGUAAUGCCUAGGAAAUUGCCUUGAUGUGGGGGAUAACCAUUGGAAACGAUGGCUAAUACCGCAUAAUGCCUACGGGCCAAAGAGGGGGACCUUCGGGCCUCUCGCGUCAAGAUAUGCCUAGGUGGGAUUAGCUAGUUGGUGAGGUAAUGGCUCACCAAGGCGACGAUCCCUAGCUGGUCUGAGAGGAUGAUCAGCCACACUGGAACUGAGACACGGUCCAGACUCCUACGGGAGGCAGCAGUGGGGAAUAUUGCACAAUGGGCGAAAGCCUGAUGCAGCCAUGCCGCGUGUAUGAAGAAGGCCUUCGGGUUGUAAAGUACUUUCAGUUGUGAGGAAGGGUGUGUAGUUAAUAGCUGCGCAUCUUGACGUUAGCAACAGAAGAAGCACCGGCUAACUCCGUGCCAGCAGCCGCGGUAAUACGGAGGGUGCGAGCGUUAAUCGGAAUUACUGGGGCGUACAAAGCCGCAUGCACGGGUGGUUCAUUAAAAGUCAGAUGUGAAAAGCCCGGGGGCUCAACCUCGGAAACUGCAAUUUGAAACCUUGGGUGAAACUACAGUUGCUGUAAA